ACAUGAUGAAAGUUUGUUAUCGGCACAGUCCGAUACUUGUACACACAUCACUACUGUCGCCGGUUAAUAGAGAGAAAAUUUUUCAGCAGUUCAGCAAAUUGAAGCAAUUGCGUGGCAAUGGCGAACAAUAACUAUGCCGGGUUCAACUACGGCGGCACCCAGUACAACACGGGACAGGUGACAUAUCCGGCCGUAACUAAUGCAACAUAUGCAAAUGCGGCUGCCUAUCAAAGUGCUGCUGUGGCUGCUGGCCAAGGGGGUGGUGGGUAUGCAGCGGCCGGUGCCGGUGCUGGUGCUGCUGGCUAUGGGGGCUAUGGUGACUAUCGUAGUGCCAUGCAGUCGUACGACGCAACCAAAACAUUCUACCAACAAGCACCGGCCAGCUACAACACGGCCUCAGCGGCAGCAGCAGCAGCAGCAGUUAGUAAGACACAUUAUUCGGCGCCGCCGGUAAAGAAUCCUAAUUCUACACAAAAGGGCAUGGGCAAAAUGGACAAAUCGAAUGGAACACCAAAGCCACCUCCAAAUGUCGCUGGAGGCAAUAGUUAUAGUGGCUAUGAUACGGCGAUCUACAAUGCGGCCAGCAUGUAUGUGGCACAACAGCAUCCGGGGUCGCAGCAAAAGCCAAACGGCGGCUCCAACAAUAGCUGGUAUCAACGCAAGAUGGGUCCGACAAUCCCUGGGGCAGUCGCAUUGCGUGGUAUGCGCCCAAAGGCUCCGCCGCGACCACAGCAACUGCAUUACUGCGAGGUAUGUAAAAUCUCAUGUGCCGGUCCCCAAACGUAUCGAGAACAUUUGGAAGGACAGAAGCAUAAGAAGCGUGAGGCAUCACUGAAAAUGCAGGCGUCCGCUGCUAACAGCGCCCAGAAUCGUGGUAACAACUAUCACUGCGAACUCUGUGACGUCACCUGUACUGGCACCGAUGCCUAUGCGGCUCAUGUACGCGGCGCUAAGCAUCAGAAGGUAGUUAAGCUGCAUCAGAAACUGGGAAAGCCAAUACCUUCUGAUGAGCCCAAGAAAAUGGGAAAGAUUAACUUUGUGCCAGCUGCAGGGCCAAAUGCAACCACUGCAGCUGCAGCAGCAGCAGGAACCAAGUCUGAUCAAGCCGAAUCUGAUGCAAUCGCAGGCGGUGGAGCAGCAGCAGCAUCUGAAAAUAUGGAUGACAAUAUGGACGAUUCGAUGGGCGAGAACACGGACAACAUUAAACCCGUGGGCGGCGAGUACAUUGAAGAGGUCAAGGACGAUGAGGGCAAAAUACUUAGCUUCAAUUGUAAGCUGUGCGAUUGCAAGUUCAACGAUCCGAAUGCCAAAGAGAUGCACAUGAAGGGCCGUCGCCAUCGCUUGCAAUACAAGCGCAAAGUUCAGCCAGACUUGGUUGUCGAUUUUAAGCCCACACCGCGCCAGCGUCGUCUGGCCGAGGCGCGUGCCCAACGAGCGCUCAUGUCCUCACAUCGUGGUGAUGAACAUGAAGGAGGCAACUACUGGGAUGAGCAGCGCAAUCGUCAAUACAAUGAAGAGUACGACUACAAUAAUUGGAUGUCCCGCAGCUUUGGAGGGGCCCAGCGCUUUGGUCGCAUGGGCAAUGGACCUCCGCCACACUUUGGCAUGAUGCCUGGCGGCGGAAAUGUGCGUCGUCCGGAGAGCACCGACGAUCGCCACGCUAUAGCGCGUCAUGCUGAAAUUUAUCCAAAGGAGGAAGAACUCCAGACUAUACAGCGCAUUGUGUCGCACACAGAACGCGCUCUUAAACUCGUCUCGGAUACUUUGGCUGAGCUGCCAACGCCAGCUGCAGGCAGUGAUAGCGAACCGGCUGCUAAAAAGGAGAAGGCCGAUAAAGCAUCGGAAAAGGAUGGACGAGAUAAUCAAAUAUUCUCAUUCCACAAAGAAGCCGACAAUGGUGGAAAUGUGGUGCGCAUCCUGAAGGGUGUCAUGCGUGUUGGCUUCUUGGCCAAGGGACUGCUGCUGCAUGGUGACACAGCGGUCGAACUGGUUGUUCUCUGUGCAGAGAAGCCAACGAUAAGUCUGCUCCAACGUGUGGCCAAUGUGCUGCCCGAUAAGCUCAAGGAGGUUGCAGCUUCUCUUCACUGCAGGAUUUGAGAUUUGAGCCCUUAGCCAUAUUGAGAUGCUAUCCACUCACACUACUCACACUCAGGUGUCUGUUAGCCGUCUAUAGCUUUCCAAGUCUGCUGCUGCUGAUACCAACUGCUACUGCUACUGCAUCUGCUGGUGGUGGAUAACAAUCAACGGAUCUCGUAAUCGUAAUGGUGAAACACCAGUCAACUAUCGCGUUGAGGUGAAUGCGGAUGAAGCUGCUGUAAUAGUGCUCGAUGAAGUGGUCGCUGUGAAGAUUACA
This 2353-nucleotide unclassified non-coding RNA is filed under the name Drosophila mojavensis. Its description in RNAcentral is "GI12251". Lineage: Eukaryota; Metazoa; Arthropoda; Insecta; Diptera; Drosophilidae. The record is from RNAcentral.